RNAcentral lists this ribosomal RNA (255 nucleotides) under uncultured bacterium. RNAcentral describes it as "partial 16S ribosomal RNA". It matches the Rfam family "Bacterial small subunit ribosomal RNA", at positions 524 to 776 of the family's 1533-position model. The record is from RNAcentral.
UACGGGGGGAGCAAGCGUUGUUCGGAUUUACUGGGCGUAAAGGGCGCGUAGGCGGUCAGCACAAGUCAGUUGUGAAAUCUCCGGGCUUAACUCGGAAAGGUCAACUGAUACUGUGCGACUAGAGUGCGGAAGGGGCAACUGGAAUUCUCGGUGUAGCGGUGAAAUGCGUAGAUAUCGAGAGGAACACCUGCGGCGAAGGCGGGUUGCUGGGCCGACACUGACGCUGACGUGCGACGAGCCAGGGGAGCGAACGGG